RNAcentral lists this ribosomal RNA (497 nucleotides) under uncultured bacterium. RNAcentral's name for it is "partial 16S ribosomal RNA". It matches the Rfam family "Bacterial small subunit ribosomal RNA", at positions 28 to 507 of the family's 1533-position model. The record is from RNAcentral.
GAUGAACGCUGGCGGCGUGCCUAAUACAUGCCAGUCGAGCGAACAGACGAGGAGCUUGCUCCUCUGACGUUAGCGGCGGACGGGUGAGUAACACGUGGAUCACCUACCUAUAAGACUGGGAUAACUUCGGGAAACCGGAGCUAAUACCGUAUAAUAUAUUGAACCGCAUGGUUCAAUAGUGAAAGACGGUUUUGCUGUCACUUAUAGCUGGAUACGCGCCGCAUUAGCUAGUUGUUAAGGUAACGGCUUACCAAGGCAACGAUGCGUAGCCGGCGGAAGAGGGUGAUCGGCCACACUGGAACGGAGACACGGACCAGACGCCUGCGGGAGGCAGCAGUAGGGAAUCGUCCGCAAUGGGCGAAAGCCUGACGGAGCAACGGCGCGUGAGUUGUGAAGGUCUUCGGUUCGUAAAGCUCUGUUAUUAGGGAAGAACAAAUGUGUAAGUAACUAUGCACGUCUUGACGGUACCUGAUCAGAAAGCAACGGCUAACUACGUG